UGCAUGUGAAGCCAGAAAGGCUGGACAUU
Molecule: non-coding RNA, 29 nt
Filed under: Mus musculus (house mouse)
Lineage: Eukaryota; Metazoa; Chordata; Mammalia; Rodentia; Muridae
Source: RNAcentral